This 1311-nucleotide ribosomal RNA is filed under the name Sinomicrurus macclellandi (MacClellands coral snake). RNAcentral describes it as "partial 16S ribosomal RNA". It matches the Rfam family "Bacterial large subunit ribosomal RNA", at positions 512 to 2606 of the family's 2925-position model. Lineage: Eukaryota; Metazoa; Chordata; Lepidosauria; Squamata; Elapidae. The record is from RNAcentral.
AGCUGAAAAUAUAUAACCGUACAAACAUCUACCCAAAUACAAACAAACCAUUUGACUUACCCAGUAGAGGCGAUCGAACAGAUACACACACUAAAAGUACCGCAAGGGAACCACUCAAGCAAUAAACAGCAAAGAUCAAUCCUUGUACCUUUUGCAUCAUGAUUUAGCAAGCAAAUCAAGGCAAGAUGAAUCACAGUCUAUACCCCGAAACCAGAUGAGCUACCUUAAAGCAGCCUAACGGGCAAACCCUUCUCUGUGGCAAAAGAGUGGGAAGACUUUCAGGUAGAGGCGAAACACCUAUCGAAUCUGGAGAUAGCUGGUUACCCAAAAAAGAAUAUAAGUUCCACUUUAGACCAUAACAUACAACUAUAUUAUCUAAAGAAACUCAAUAGGGGUACAGCCCUAUUGAAACAGGAUACAACCUGAAUUUGAGAGAACCCACUAAACCUUCAUCUGUAGGCCUUUAAGCAGCCACCCUAUAAAAUAUCGUUAAAGAAUUUACCAAAACUAAUUCAAAACAUAGCUUAAAACUCCAAAUACACUAAAGGUAAACCUACUCUCUGUAGGAAGUCCCCUGCUAAAACUAAUAAUAAGACAACCUCUCUCAAACGCACCCAUCUGCUAGAAACAGAAAACCUGCUAGCCAUUAACAGACCCAACCAGGACAUAACGCUAACCCAUACACACCCGUUUUCCAACUGUGACCCCAACACAGGUGCGUCAUAAAAGAAAGAUUAAACACUAUAAAAGGAACUCGGCAACCAAAGACCCCAACUGUUUAACAAAAACAUAACCUUUAGCCAUUAAACCAAUAUUAAAGGCAACGCCUGCCCAGUGAACAAUUAAACGGCCGCGGUACCCUAACCGUGCAAAGGUAGCAUAAUCAUUUGUCUAUUAAUUGUAGACCUGUAUGAAAGGCAAAAUGAGGGCCUAACUGUCUCUUAUAGUAAAUCAAUUAAACUGAUCCCCCAGUCCAAAAGCUGGGAUAUAAACAUAAGACCAGAAGACCCUGUGAAGCUUAAAUUAAACUAUUAAACCCUAUAAUAGCUCCUUUCGGUUGGGGCGACCUUGGAAAAUAAAAGAACUUCCAAACAAAUAAUACUAUACGUAUCUCGCUUAGGCCAACAAGCCCGCAAUGAUCCAGCAAAGCUGAUAAUUGAAACAAGUUACUCCAGGGAUAACAGCGCUAUCUUCUUCAAGAGCCCAUAUCAAAAAGAAGGUUUACGACCUCGAUGUUGGAUCAGGACAUCCUAAUGGUGCAACCGCUAUUAAGGGUUCGUUUGUUCAACGAUUAAUAGUCCUACGUGAUCU